This 650-nucleotide ribosomal RNA is filed under the name uncultured bacterium. Its description in RNAcentral is "bacterial SSU rRNA". It matches the Rfam family "Bacterial small subunit ribosomal RNA", at positions 95 to 780 of the family's 1533-position model. The record is from RNAcentral.
GCGGCAGACGGGUGAGUAACGCGUGGGAACGUACCUUUUGGUUCGGAACAACACAGGGAAACUUGUGCUAAUACCGGAUAAGCCCUUACGGGGAAAGAUUUAUCGCCGAAAGAUCGGCCCGCGUCUGAUUAGCUAGUUGGAGGGGUAACGGCCCACCAAGGCGACGAUCAGUAGCUGGUCUGAGAGGAUGAUCAGCCACAUUGGGACUGAGACACGGCCCAACCUUCUACGGGAGGCAGCAGUGGGGAAUAUUGGACAAUGGGCGCAAGCCUGAUCCAGCCAUGCCGCGUAAGUGAUGAAGGCCCUAGGGUUGUAAAGCUCUUUUGUGCGGGAAGAUAAUGACGGUACCGCAAGAAUAAGCCCCGGCUAACUUCGUGCCAGCAGCCGCGGUAAUACGAAGGGGGCUAGCGUUGCUCGGAAUCACUGGGCGUAAAGGGUGCGUAGGCGGGUCUUUAAGUCAGGGGUGAAAUCCUGGAGCUCAACUCCAGAACUGCCUUUGAUACUGAGGAUCUUGAGUUCGGGAGAGGUGAGUGGAACUGCGAGUGUAGAGGUGAAAUUCGUAGAUAUUCGCAAGAACACCAGUGGCGAAGGCGGCUCACUGGCCCGAUACUGACGCUGAGGCACGAAAGCGUGGGGAGCAAACAGGAUUA